UACGGAGGAUGCGAGCGUUAUCCGGAUUUAUUGGGUUUAAAGGGUGCGUAGACGGCUUAGUAAGUCAGCGGUGAAAUUUUGCAGCUUAACUGUAACAGUGCCGUUGAUACUGCCAGGCUAGGAUUUGGUUGCUGUGGGUGGAAUGUGUGGUGUAGCGGUGAAAUGCUUAGAUAUCACACAGAACACCGAUUGCGAAGGCAGCUUACUAAUCCAUCAUUGACGCUGAGGCACGAAAGCGUGGGGAUCAAACAGGAUUA
RNAcentral lists this ribosomal RNA (257 nucleotides) under uncultured prokaryote. Its description in RNAcentral is "partial 16S ribosomal RNA". It matches the Rfam family "Bacterial small subunit ribosomal RNA", at positions 524 to 780 of the family's 1533-position model. The record is from RNAcentral.